This 77-nucleotide transfer RNA is filed under the name Sphingomonadales bacterium. RNAcentral describes it as "tRNA-Arg". It matches the Rfam family "tRNA". Rfam says of the family: Transfer RNA (tRNA) molecules are approximately 80 nucleotides in length. Their secondary structure includes four short double-helical elements and three loops (D, anti-codon, and T loops). Lineage: Bacteria; Pseudomonadati; Pseudomonadota; Alphaproteobacteria; Sphingomonadales. The record is from RNAcentral.
GGCCCCGUAGCUCAGCAGGAUAGAGCAAGCGAUUCCUAAUCGAGAGGUCGGUGGUUCGAAUCCACUCGGGGUCACCA